Phasianus colchicus (ring-necked pheasant) is the source of this 5210-nucleotide long non-coding RNA. RefSeq lists it as uncharacterized. Lineage: Eukaryota; Metazoa; Chordata; Aves; Galliformes; Phasianidae. The record is from RefSeq and is a predicted model, not a curated record.
GGGGUUGGAACUGGAGGAGCACUGUGGGCCUUUUCAACCCAGGCCAUUCUAUGAUUCUAUGAUUCAAUCUGAGCUAUUCAGACCCGUCUCCAUUUGCAGCCAGUAAUACACUGUUACAAGGAGAUGCAUUUCUGCACGUGCCUUCUACAGAUCUGCAUUUCCUAGGAUGAAUUCCAAACCUGCUGUUAGGAAAAUGAGUGCUUCAUUUUAACCAUAUAAAAUGGCAGAAUUUAUUUGAUCACGUGACGCUGAUUCUGAACUACUAUGCUGAACAGAAUGUGUCCUGCAAGCCACCCCUCCAUGCUCUGACAGCUUAGAUCCAUAAGUUCUCUCUUAGGAACAGGGGUGCACAGGUCUCUGGUUGCAGACAGGAGAUACUCAGUUCACAACGUGUGGCUGUUCUGAACAGGAACAGAUAAAUGGACAGGAAAGGAAACAGUUCAGGAAAGUAUACUCCUUUCUUUAGAGGGUGGAUGACAAGAACAUGACACCUCCAAAGGCUGAUGGUAUAACGGCAAUGCAGAGAACUGCUGCAGCUUUCUGAGACCACACAGCAGCUGAAGCAGCAGAUUGCGUCCUGUGUUGUGUGAGCGCAUCCUACAAUGCUUUGUUACCCCCAAAUACUGCUGUUUUUUCAAACGUAUUUAAUGUUUAAAUGAGCAUCAGCAGUACCCUCCUACAACACAAGCCAAGUGGCACAGCUGCAGCCAUCUGGUCUGUGCUGUGAGCAGCAUGUGGGUGGCCCUGCAGCCUGGUCCAGCUUUAGGAUGUGGUUCUGGAGGAGGAAUCUGCCCUCUCAGGAUGAGCAGCACACCUGAGAGUUCAGACAAUGCUAUUCUGAGCAACUGUCCUCUGACGGUUCUAGGAUUGGUAUUCCUGGUAUUUAGAGAACUACAAUUAAUAGGGCUGCACGCCAAAAAAAGUGCAUUUCAGAUUGAUAGAAUCUUGAGGUCUAACUAUUCCGCUCAAUUUUCUGGGGAAGGCAAACAGAAACAUUUAGCUCACAUUCUAGCUCAGGCCUAGAAACUUCACAAACAAGUGUUCAUGCCUUUUAGUUUUCUUUAGAAGGAAAUGACAAGCAGAUAACCAAAUCCGUUCUGAAAUAUUUCAUCCAUAAAAGAUAUCUCAAAAAUAACCUUGAAGCUAUAAAAUAACUGUUUACCAAACCUUGCUUUACUUUGUUAUGAACACUUUAACUCGGUGCUAAAAUAAGAAAUACGCCUCAGCAAGGAGCAGGCCGUGAGAUACGUUAUCGGGUUGUAAUGAAGCAACUGACAUCCCAGCCACUGGGACAACAGCCUCUUGUGGAACACACUCAGAAAAACAAGUUUCAAGUUUUCAGUGUUGUAAAUGCUCACCUCUGAUCUUUUCAGAAGGACAAAGUCCUCUGGGCAAAGGACUAAACUCUUUUGUCGGCCAUGAAUCCCUGGUAGUGAUGCUAUGUCUGCUGUCUUGAUAGAAACUAUUCAGUUAAUGUAAAUUAGGUUCAGGACAUCCCAGUGAGCCACUUAGUGGCAAAACUUGAGAAACAGAAAAUGACAACAAAUUGAGCCUUUUGCAUAUUGGCUUGAAUUUAAGAUUUCAUAAAAGUUCUGAAAGAGAAGGCUCAUCUUAACUACAUUUUGAGACCAGAUGAUGACAGAAUAGCUGAGCUUCCAGUGAAGUCCUAUCAACACUUUGGUGGUUGGCAGCACAGCCACUGUGAUCAAUUAGGUUAAUUGAAACUAUACGGCCUGCAGGCUUUGUGUGCAGUUCUUAACAUGGUUAGAAGAGAGGCAAAUGUGUAACAGCAUGAUUUUAACUAUAAUGGGUGCAUCUGAACCCAGGCCUAAGCCAGAAUUCAAAUAACUGAGCUUUCACACUCUUUGGAUGCAAGCAGGCUGAUGUAGACACUGAAUGUAUCAAGAAAAUGAUGAGAAGGCAGAAAACUUGAAAUUAUGCAAUUUCUAACCACAGUCCUAACAAUACUACACUUCUCAGAAUCACUGAGGCUGGACGGUGCCUCUGGAGAAGAUCUGCUCCAACCCUCUGCCCACAGCAGGGUCACCUCGAGCAUGGUGCUCAGAGUGGAAUCCAGCUGGGUUUACAGUAUCUCCACAGAUGGAGACUCCACAACUGCACUGGGCAACCUGUGCCACUGCUCCAACUGCCCUCUGAGUGUGAAAGCUAUUUUCAUGUUUAAGUUGAAGCUCUUGCAUUUGCUCUGUGCCCGCUACCUCUUGUGCUUUUCACUGAGAAGAGUCUGGAUCUGUCUCCUUCAUUCUGCCUUUCAGAUAUUUAUUGGCCUUGAUAAAGUCCCCCCAGGCCUUCCUAUCUCCAGCUGUACAAUCCUGGCUGUCUCAGCCUCUUCUCAUGUGACAGAUCCUCCAAGCCCUUAGACAUCUUUCAGGCCAUUCACUGUUCUUGAUCCAGCAAUCCCCUGUCUUUCUUGUACGGUGGAGCCCUGAACUGGAUGCAGCACUCCAGAUAGGCCUCACCAGGGCUGAGUAGAGGAGGAGGAUCACCUUCCUCACCUCAGUGGGAAAGCUAUGCCCAGUGCAACCCAGGAUACCAUUGGCCUUCUCUGCCAUCAAGUCAUUUGCCAGCACAUAACCAACUUGAUGUCCACCAAGAUCCCAGGGCCUUUUCUGCAAAACUCCUUUUUCAGCUGCUUCCCUGUGGAAUGAUCCCACAGGAUACGCAACAGUGGAGCCCAACAUAGGUCAGAAGUUUAAUAUAAGCCACCCUGAGUACAAUAUCGCACCACAUCAUUCAGGUGUCUCUGGUCCAACCAAAUAAGUCACAGCACACAAAAUCAGGAUUUCUAGUUCAGUAAGAAAAGACAGCAAGCCUUUCAAUUCUCCAGAAAAAAUAUAUACUUAAAAAAAAAUACGAUAGAAAUAUGUGCAGGGUGGCAACAAUGCAAAUAGCGGGGGGAAUUGAAACUAUGGUCCUUUUCAACCCAGGCCAUUCUAUGAUUCUAUGAUUACCAGAAACUCAAAUGGAAGAAGAAAAUUUAUAGAAUGUGAAAAAAGGGUCUGGCCACUUGGGAAGAAUACAGGAAUGUUGUCAGGCCAUGUAAGGUUGCAACUAUGAAGGCUAAGGCCCACCUGGAAUUAAAUCUGUCAAAGGAGGUCAAGGACAACAAGAGAGAGAGUUUGGAGAAAGGAAUCUGGUUGAGAAAGAUCUGGUCAGAGAGCAUCUAAUCAAACAGGAUAAACACAGAUCCAUGUGACCUGAUGGGAUGCCUCCAUGAGUGCUGAGAGAUCUGGCAGAAGUGAUUUUCAAACUACCUUCUAUCAUCUAUGAAAGGUCAUGGAGAGUGGGAGAGGUGCCUGAAGACUGGGGGAAAGCCAAUAUCACGGCAGUCUUCAAAAGGGGCAAGAAGGAAGAGUUGGGAAACUACAGGCAGCCAGUCUCACCUCCAUUCCUGGGAAGGGAAUGGAACAGCUUAUUCUAAAGUCCUCUCCUAGCAUGUGGAAGAAAAGAUGAUCGGGAGUAAUCAACAUGGAUUCACUAAUGGGAAAUGGUGCUUGACCAACCUGGCAGCCUUCUAUGAUGUCAUAAAUGGCUUGGUAGUUGCAGGGAGAGCAGUGGAUGUUGUGUAUCUUGGCUACAGCACAGCUCCUGCCACUCUCACAACAUCCUUACUAGGAAACUUAGAAAGUGCAGGACUGAUGAGCAGACAGUGAGGUGCCUUGAGAACUGGCUGGCUGGCAUUGCUCAGGGGACUGUGAUCAGCAGCACAGUCUGGUUGGAGGCCAUAACUAGUGAUCCCCAGUGGUCGGUGCUGGGCCCAGUCCUUUUCAACAACUUCAUGAAUGACCUGGAUGAAGGAUAGAGUCCACCUGUGGAAAGUUUGCUGAUAAUGCAAAGCUGAGAAGAGUGGCUGAUACACUAAAGAAGCUGUGCUGCCAUGCAGAGAGACCAGGGCAGGCAGAGAGUUGGGCAGAGAAGAACCUGAUAAGGUUCAACAAGAGCAAGUGAAGGGUCUUACACCUGGGGAAGAAUAACCACAUGCAUCAAUACAGGGAGGCCACACCUGGAGUACUGUGUCCAGUUCCAGGCUCGUCAGUAAAAGAUGGGGAACUGCUGGAAAUAAAGAGGCUUCUAUCAGCGGACAUGUUAAGUAUGAAGUUCAGGAACUUCACCUUCUGGACUGCUCACUUCAUAUUAUGGAGAAAAUUGAAAAUCCUUCCAAUUGUAAGAUCUCUUCCAGCAGCCAGGGUCACCGUGCUACCUGCAACAGUCCCUCGUCUGCCACAAAUCACAUUCUAGCUGCCUGGCAUGGAAGACAGAGUGAGAUUUAAACCAGGUGAUAAUCUCCCAGUAAAGGAGCAUCUGCCAUUUUUCAGAAACAUAGUGUAUAAAUGCUGACGUUGUUAGUUAACGUUAUUUACAUGCACAUUUUACAUCUACCUGCUCAAUUUGUGUAUGUGGCUGCAGGAAAAGUUUGGGGAAAUACAGAGUAAAAAUACGUGUACAUGGUUUGUAUAUCCUGCAUUUAUGUGCAUACAUAAAAAAUAAUCCAUGAUAUUAGAAAAUAAUACUGAGCCACAAUGUUAAUGCAGUCUCUUCCACAAGCCAAAAACUUGUGUGGGUAUAUGCAUAAAGAAUGUACAUACUCAGAGAGAGACACUAACAUCUUGUAAUGCAAUAUGUUUCUGUUAUACACACUCCAGACUUCCUAACAGCUGCAUAUUUUAAUAUACAUAAACCCAUACUUGAAAAAUAAUAAAAUGUAUUAGUUUUCCACAUUAGGCAUUUAUGGCCUAAUUUAGGAGAGUAUUACAUCUUUAUAACUUUUAAAAGACCCAUUUUGAUAAAACAUCCUCAUAAACAGACUGAGAAAAUCAGGGUAACAAGCAUCUGUUGCUGCGUUGUUUUCUUAAUGGGGUAAUAAAAUAAUAACACAUUUUUAUAACUUUUCACAACAAUAUAAAGUAUUAAAAUCGAAACUGAUAUUGAAAAAUGUUCUCAUGGUCUUUUUUAUUUUAUUUUUCCACUAUGUAAAGUUGCAGCACUUACCAGAUUAAUAUUAAUAUAUCUUAAUUAUGUUGACACAAUGGAAAUUUGCCAAAGACACUCGAAGAAUGGAAAUAACUUGUUAUUUCCACUACUCUAAUUAAGGUGGUGGAUUUAGCCCAUUUUAUUCAGAAUGCAGAAGUAAUAUGAAUAUUCUUUACCAUGAGAGUGGUGAGGUGCUGGAACAGCUGCCCAGAGAGGCUGUG